CAAAACUGGUGUAAAAGCUAUUAUAAUAGAGUUGUAAAAUCAAAAACCUCGCUAGCGGUUUGACGUUUGCCGUAAACGUCAAUCUUAAGGUCUCUAUAUUAACGUUUACGGCAAACGUCAAACCGCUAGCGAAGUUUUUGAUUUUACCACUCUAUUAUAAUAGCUUUUACACCAGUUUGG
RNAcentral lists this microRNA precursor (180 nucleotides) under Paramuricea clavata. The record is from RNAcentral. Lineage: Eukaryota; Metazoa; Cnidaria; Anthozoa; Malacalcyonacea; Plexauridae.